AUGAAGAGAGAACUGGAAAGAAGAAAGGAAGAAAUGGAUAGAAGGGAGAGAGAACUGAACAUAGAUAUGGAUAGAAGAAAGGAAGAAAUGGAUAGAAGAGAGAGAGAACUGAACAUAGAAAUGGAUAGAAGAAAGGAAGAAAUGGAUAGAAGAGAGAUAGAACUGAAAAUAGAAAUGGAUAGAAGAAAGAAGGAAAUGAAUAGAAUAGAGAGCGAACUGGACAAAAAAUUGUUUAUAAGAAAGGACGAAAUGGAUAGAAGAAAGGAAGAAAUGGAUAGAAGAGCGACGGAACUUGAUAGAAGAGAGAAAGAAAUGGGUGAUCGUGAAGUACUUCAUGAAAUGCCAGCGGCAGCAGAAGCAGAAGACGGACCGGGCACAAGCUCAGACCAAUCAAAGAAGAUGCCGACUGAAGCACUGAAACUUGUGCGACGAAACAGCAUAGACAAAGAUAACCCUAACACGUUGUCACACAGACCUAAGCAAUGCAUGAGUUGGGCAAAUAUCUGCAUGAGAUCCAUUGUUUGCUACUAAAUCUGAAGUGUCUGAAAGGGAGGACAAACCUCCAGCUACUCCCUGAACAGACCACGAUUACACCGGAGCACGUUGAAGGAUUUUCCACUUUUCCAGUGAAGGUUGAGUACAAAUGAUCAAUUGAUUAAUCAGUUGAUAUAUAUAUUAUGAUAUAGAACUUUAUUGUUAGACAAAGACUGAUUUUCUUUUCUUGCAUGAUAGUAUGUUCAUUCACAAUUACUACCACAAGGAUCACCAGAUCUUUACAAACUCUUAUAACAAAAUACAACGUUUCACAAGUUAGUUGAGUUUAGAUUUUCCAUAUUCAAUUCUGUGAUGCAAAAAAGAGUGUUUUAGGUCUAACAGGUCAGGUUGUAGGUUAGGUCAGAAACAAUUUUAUUGACCAGCCUGAAGAGUCUCUUCUGAUAAGAUGAUUCUUGUACCUUUUCAAGAGGCUGUCCUGCAAUCUUUGAGCUAAUUUUUAUUCAGUUCAUCAGCUUUGUUUUUAAACUAAAUGACAGAUUAAUUUACCAAAUGGACUUACAACACUGUAAAACACUCAUGAUCAUAGACAUAAUAAUAAAAUAAUCUGUUUUCUUGCUCCA
Molecule: long non-coding RNA, 1115 nt
Organism: Cyprinus carpio (common carp)
Lineage: Eukaryota; Metazoa; Chordata; Actinopteri; Cypriniformes; Cyprinidae
Source: Ensembl